CUGAACUUAAGCAUAUCAUAGCGGAGGA
Molecule: ribosomal RNA, 28 nt
Filed under: Ceratobasidium sp. AG-A
Lineage: Eukaryota; Fungi; Basidiomycota; Agaricomycetes; Cantharellales; Ceratobasidiaceae
Description: partial 28S ribosomal RNA
Source: RNAcentral